GAUAACCAGCUUGUAGCAGUCGAGUGUUCAUAGUGACGUUGCUUUUUGCCCCUUUGGUGCCACCUCUUCCUAUCAUGGUGAAGCAGAAUUCACUGUGCACUGGACUGCUCACCCACUAACAGGGACCGUGAGCUGGGCUUAGACUAUCGUGAGAAAGGCC
This 160-nucleotide non-coding RNA is filed under the name Alligator mississippiensis (American alligator). Its description in RNAcentral is "Eukaryotic large subunit ribosomal RNA". It matches the Rfam family "Eukaryotic large subunit ribosomal RNA", at positions 2825 to 2984 of the family's 3401-position model. Lineage: Eukaryota; Metazoa; Chordata; Crocodylia; Alligatoridae. The record is from Rfam by way of RNAcentral.